Molecule: long non-coding RNA, 1815 nt
Filed under: Sus scrofa (pig)
Lineage: Eukaryota; Metazoa; Chordata; Mammalia; Artiodactyla; Suidae
Description: lncRNA (ENSSSCG00040048827.1)
Source: RNAcentral
GACCCUUUGGUGUAGGUACUAUUAUUCUUCUUCUAUUAGGGAGGAAGAAACUAAUACUCAGAAAAUUUGCAUCACAUGCUCAGUUUCACAUUAUUAGUAAAGUAUUCAAUCAAAUCCAGGCAGGCCUUUUCCAGCGCUUAAGUUAGUUCCUUCUCUCAUGGAGCUAAUACUCUUGAUCUGUGAAGUAAUCUGCAGUUUUACUGAGUGAUCCUCAGCCCUUUACUGUGUUAUUAUGUCUCAUUCUAAUGGAUAAUAAUUAAGGGGUUACAAAAGACUUUCUCAAAGAUGGAGUAAACAGACUUGUUCCUAAUUUGAGCAAGCCAAAGAUGGUAACAGAACUGGAAACCAAUAAAACAUUAUUACCAAAAUGUUGCAUCUAUUCCCAAUUAGAACUAAAGGAAGUAGAGUUAAUCUGCAGUUUAUGGUUUAUAUUCAAAAUGAGAGAGAGAAGAUCUUAGUUAUCAAUUUUUUUUUCCAAUACUGGUCUUAGAAAGUGACUUAUAUAUGUAUUUCAGUGAGCCAGGACUCAACUCUCUUGACUCAUAGCCAGGACUAUCUACACUUGAUCACACUUCAAGCUAAAGUCACAUUACAAAAUUUCUUAAGAUCUCUAUAUUCCCUAUACUCAAAUUGUAUAGGCUGUGAUUUGCAUAAACAUUCUGAAAUACAGAGUCUACCAGCCUUAAUAAGGGGGAAGGAAAUCAUUUCUCAAUCUUUCUCUCUCUCUCUCUCUCUCACACACACACACACACACAUGCACAAGCAUGUGCACAGCUGUUUAGAGUAUGCUGUCAGGCUCCUCUUCUACUCCUGUCAUCCAGAAAUAGCAGAGGGACCUUGGGUACCCUGACAGUUCUCUAAGAGGCAUGCUCAAGAGUAGAACUUGGCUGCCACACACAGUGAUUCAGCAAUUUACCAGUAGAAAAUACGACAGGGAGAGGAAGGAGAAUUUCUCAUCUGGGUUUGGAAGCAGAAGAGGAGGCAACAGAACACUAAAGGAAUGUUCCUCAAGCCAUGUUGCAGGAGGUAACACAUAUACAGCAUUGCUUCCUGAAAUUCAGACUCUGCCUCUCCAGACAAUAUCCAUUUUAUUAAAAUGAAAUAUCAACUCUUCCUAAAGUUGUCAGGUUAAAAAAGCAAAUCUUAAUGUGAACUCUAUCAAUCUUUCUAUGAAAUGAUUCAAUGUGGGUGUGAAAUGGCUCCAUGGAGAAAUGAAAGCUGCAACUCUUGAAACUUACCUGCUACCCUUCUGGCCCAGAGCCAGUUCAUCACUAAAUCUACACUGUGUUGUGUUUCUCUGUACUCCAGCCAGCCUCCUAUUUCAGACUUUGACACAAAUGACAGAGUGCUGAUAGUGAAGCCACAAAAUGUUAAGAUGAGGUCACUUGGAAAGGGGCGGAGGAAGAAAGUACAGGAUUUCUUGGUUAAGUAAGCAGAGACUCAGUUGCUGAAGAACCAAUAGGAAGAUUCCUUGCAGCCACUAUAUGACAAGCCACCGUCUUCACAAUCGCUAAAAUGACUUCUAGUCAUUUUAGAAGGACCACUUUUUGUCUUCUGGUAGGUAGGCAGUUGGGGAAUCUGCUUUACUGUUCACUCACUUAUUUCUUUAUCCAUCUGUCCCCAUACUAAUUAAUUCAAACAGACAUUUAAGAGCAAUUUUCACAGAGAACUUUACCCAGUGUUCUGUGAUAAUCUACAUGCGAAAAGAAUCUGAAAAAGAAUGGGUGUGUGUAUAACUGAAUCACUUUGUUGUAUAGCAGAAAUUAUCAGAACAUUGUAAAUCAACUAUACUUCAAUAAAACUUUUCUAAAAAGA